UGAGGAAUAUUGGGCAAUGCCCGAAAGGGGGACCCAGCAACGCCGCGUGGAGGAUGAAGGUCGUAAGAUUGUAAACUCCUGUUAGAGGGGAAGAAUAACUAAGUUUGGAGCUUAGUAUGACUGUACCCUCAGAGAAAGCACCGGCUAACUACGUGCCAGCAGCCGCGGUAAUACGUAGGGGGCAAGCGUUGUCCGGAUUUACUGGGUGUAGAGGGCGCGCAGGCGGGAUAAAAAGUCAGUGGUGAAAUCCUACAGCUUAACUGUAGAACUGCCUUUGAUACUUUUAUUCUUGAGUUCGGGAGAGAGAGACGGAAUUCCAGGUGUAGUGGUGAAAUACGUAGAUAUCUGGAAGAACACCAGUUGCGAAGGCGGUCUCUUGGUCCGACACUGACGCUGAGGCGCGAAAGCGUGGGGAGCGAACA
RNAcentral lists this ribosomal RNA (422 nucleotides) under uncultured bacterium. RNAcentral's name for it is "bacterial SSU rRNA". It matches the Rfam family "Bacterial small subunit ribosomal RNA", at positions 355 to 774 of the family's 1533-position model. The record is from RNAcentral.